GGGUGCGAUCAUACCAGCAAAAAAGUACCGGAUUCCAUCAGAAUUCCGCAGUUAAACGUGCUUGGGCGAGAUUGGUACUUGUUGAUAUGUCACAUAUGAUUUCUAUCA
Molecule: ribosomal RNA, 108 nt
Filed under: Cephalotus follicularis
Lineage: Eukaryota; Viridiplantae; Streptophyta; Magnoliopsida; Oxalidales; Cephalotaceae
Source: RNAcentral